CUACGGGCCGCUGCAGUGGGGAAUAUUGGACAAUGGGGGAAACCCUGAUCCAGCAAUGCCGCGUGUGCGAAGAAGGCCUUAGGGUUGUAAAGCACUUUCAGUAGUGAGGAAAAGUUUAAGGCUAAUACCCUUGAACCCUGACGUUAACUACAGAAGAAGCACCGGCUAAUUUCGUGCCAGCAGCCGCGGUAAUACGAAGGGUGCAAGCGUUAAUCGGAUUUACUGGGCGUAAAGCGCGCGUAGGCGGUUUGAUAAGUCGGAUGUGAAAGCCCCGGGCUCAACCUGGGAAUUGCAUUCGAUACUGUCAGGCUAGAGUAUGGUAGAGGGAAGUGGAAUUCCACAUGUAGCGGUGAAAUGCGUAGAUAUGUGGAGGAACACCAGUGGCGAAGGCGACUUCCUGGCCCAAUACUGAUGCUGAGGUGCGAAAGCGUGGGGAGCAAACAGGAUUAGAUACCCCAGUAGUC
Molecule: ribosomal RNA, 464 nt
Filed under: uncultured bacterium
Lineage: Bacteria
Description: partial 16S ribosomal RNA
Rfam family: Bacterial small subunit ribosomal RNA
Source: RNAcentral